Molecule: long non-coding RNA, 123 nt
Organism: Sinocyclocheilus anshuiensis
Lineage: Eukaryota; Metazoa; Chordata; Actinopteri; Cypriniformes; Cyprinidae
Exons: 3
Source: RefSeq, a predicted model, not a curated record
GCUGGGGAUCAGCAGACGAUAUGGUCACAGGAAGCUCCUCACAUCACUUUACCGUUUCCUAUAGCUGUGUCUAGCUUGCUUGUCGUAGCCCCUUGGUUUAAUGCUCCAUAACUGUCCUUGAUG